Apis mellifera (honey bee) is the source of this 2011-nucleotide long non-coding RNA. RefSeq lists it as uncharacterized. The transcript is spliced from 4 exons. NCBI's taxonomy places the organism in Eukaryota, Metazoa, Arthropoda, Insecta, Hymenoptera, Apidae. The record is from RefSeq and is a predicted model, not a curated record.
CUUCUUCGCACCAGUAUUUUUGCAGAACAGAAUUUCGUUUAAAAACUUUUUAAGGUUGAAAUAUUAUAUAUUCGAAUUAUUUAGAUUGAAAUAAAGAAUACUUCUCGAAGAAUUUUCUCGAAUAAGGAGAUAAAAAGAAAGAAGAAUUUCAUUCUAGCCAACGUAGCAUAUAAAGGAACUGCUGAUUAAUCUAGAAAAAGAAGAUUACAUUGGUAAUCAUAUUUGAGAAGGGAAAGGGAAGAAAAAAAGAUUUCGUUCUCGUUACGUUCGAGAACUGACGUAAUUAAAGAUAAAAAAAGAAAAGAUGGGAGGAGGUAGAGAAAGGAGAAGAGAAAAUAUUUGCAUUUUUAAAUCUGUGAUACGAAACGAUAAACGAAGGGAGCGUGUCCUGAUCCGUGAAACGAAAACCGUGCGUGUGCGCGUGUGUGUAUAUUUUACAAGCGAUAGCUAUUUCUAGAUGGCAGAACCGACGAAUCGACGUUUCGCCCUGGGUUUAUAAUAUCCCUCUUCACGGAUCCAGCAUGCAAACGCGUAGUUUUUUAAAACUCGGAUCGAUUCCGGUUUCGAAAACGGGAUAAACUUGGACGAAAAUCAUUCGGUACAGGUGGUCCCGCGACGGGAAACGCAGCUGCCCGGAAUGUUUUUUCGCUUCUGCUCGGCUUUCCCCGGUAAAUCGAUAGAACGAGGUCGAGCGGAGCCCCGAGGACCGCGAUUCUUUUUCUCUUCGAUCCGAAGCGGAAUCGGACGAAACCCGUGGGGAGGAUGACGAGCGCCCCGGUUAAUUAUUCAGAAAUUUCACGAACUUAUAAAUAAUUGUGCGCGUUAUAAUUGUAUCAACGUUGGAUAGGCUCUGCCCACUUUUCGUGACUGUGCGCGUGGAAUCGAAUCGACGCGAUCUGUCGUCCAUCUCGAUGACUCACCGCAACCCUCUUUCAAGACAUUCCUCGAGAAGAAAAGUUUUCUGCGGGGUUCCACCGAUGACUCACCCUCCAGAUUCAUCCCCUCGAUUCCGACGGUUCGACGAAUUCGCUUUCGCAGCCACGAAAUUGUCUCGAUGUAUAUAUCGUGCAUUAUAGGAAAUUUUUGACUCCUACUUUUUGCUUUAGAGAAAGUAAUAUCUCUAGCGUUGCGACAGAGAGAGAGACAGAGAGAGCGUACAGACGAGAUACGUCACGUGUCUCCUUACGAAUGCGAGAUACGUCGUGUGCAAAAUUCGUACGAAAACCUGGGCUGACGACUCGAUCGCAAACGAUAUAAUAAACGUUUUAGCCGUGUUGCACAUGGGAGCAAUUUGUACAACAAAUUUGUACGAAUACAUAAUAGAGAAGCAAAAGUGACGAGAUAAAAAUGAUACACGUAUUCGAAGUCGAGCUGGAAAUGGAUAAGAAAAAUAGAACGUGAGAUUGUUAUUAUCCAUUAAUCAGAGGGAUAAAAUAUUCCACCGGAAGGGAUUAAAAAAUAUUAUACGAUAUGUAAUGCAUGUUUGAUGCGCAAGUGAUUGAUUUCUGGGAACAAAAUUUCCAUUUUCUCGAUAUCUGUCUCGAUAUCUUUUUCUACGCUUCGGUAAAGAUGGCUGUCAGCUAGAAUAACUUGACAACUAUAAGAUAUAUAUUCUGUAUCGAUAAAUGGAACGGACAUAUUCAUGGUUCAUCCCAUUUUGUAUUGCACGGACAGAUUAUUAAAAUCGAAGAGGAGUUUUUAAAAUGGAGAGAAUUCGAAGAAGGGAAGGAAAUAAAAAUAAAGUCUUGUACAAAUGUAUAUUUUAAUCAGAUUCGAGUUAAAUAUUUUACGUGAUAAUAUAUAUAUAUAUAUGUACUAAAUAUUUAUCAUGGUUCGACCAUCGACCAAUUUCAAUCUCUACAAUUUACAUUAACAAGUUAAAUAAUUAUACGAGUUUUAAUCUCGCAAUAUGCGAGUCGCCAUUAAAUAUCGACUCAUAAAAUAAUAAAAGUUGGCUCGAAAAAAAAAAGAAACUAAAAACACGUGACAAUGAGUCGAAAAAAUUAUAAUU